GAAACAAAAUGAAUGUGCUUUGCCACCGAGACACCUAAUUUUUUUCUCCUCUUACUUUUUUCUCUUCUCUCUCUCUCUGCUGUUCUUCAGACAAAACCUGCUACAACCCCCUCUUCAACUACGAGGACAUGCAGGAGAUCACCCAGCACUUUGCCGUCUGCCACGUGGACGCCCCUGGCCAGCAGGACGGCGCAGCCUCCUUCCCCGCAGGGUACAUGUACCCCUCCAUGGAUCAGCUGGCUGAAAUGCUUCCUGGAGUCCUUCAAGAGUUUGGGUAAGAGCGAAGGAUCAGCUCCUCCUCUGUUUGCAGAGAAGCCUGGUUUCUAGCAUCCUCUUGCCCCUUGGCU
RNAcentral lists this small RNA (347 nucleotides) under Pongo abelii (Sumatran orangutan). Its description in RNAcentral is "retained intron". The record is from RNAcentral. Lineage: Eukaryota; Metazoa; Chordata; Mammalia; Primates; Hominidae.